RNAcentral lists this ribosomal RNA (512 nucleotides) under Limosilactobacillus fermentum. RNAcentral's name for it is "bacterial SSU rRNA". It matches the Rfam family "Bacterial small subunit ribosomal RNA", at positions 28 to 497 of the family's 1533-position model. The record is from RNAcentral. Lineage: Bacteria; Bacillati; Bacillota; Bacilli; Lactobacillales; Lactobacillaceae.
GAUGAACGCCGGCGGUGUGCCUAAUGCAUGCAAGUCGAACGCGUUGGCCCAAUUGAUUGAUGGUGCUUGCACCUGAUAGAUUUUGGUCGCCAACGAGUGGCGGACGGGUGAGUAACACGUAGGUAACCUGCCCAGAAGCGGGGGACAACAUUUGGAAACAGAUGCUAAUACCGCAUAACAACGUUGUUCGCAUGAACAACGCUUAAAAGAUGGCUUCACGCUAUCACUUCUGGAUGGACCUGCGGUGCAUUAGCUUGUUGGUGGGGUAAUGGUCUACCAAGGCGAUGAUGCAUAGCCGAGUUGAGAGACUGAUCGGCCACAAUGGGACUGAGACACGGCCCAUACUCCUACGGGAGCAGCAGUAGGGAAUCUUCCACAAUGGGCGCAAGCCUGAUGGAGCAACACCGCGUGAGUGAAGAAGGGUUUCGGCUCGUAAAGCUCUGUUGUUAAAGAAGAACACGUAUGAGAGUAACUGUUCAUACGUUGACGGUAUUUAACCAGAAAGUCACGCU